UCCGCCUUGGUGUAACGGCAGCACGACGGCCUUUGGUGCCGUUAGGUCCGGGUUCGAAUCCUGGAGGCGGAGCCC
This is a transfer RNA of 75 nucleotides. It matches the Rfam family "tRNA". From Rfam's summary of the family: Transfer RNA (tRNA) molecules are approximately 80 nucleotides in length. Their secondary structure includes four short double-helical elements and three loops (D, anti-codon, and T loops).